GGGUGACAGCGGGAGGGC
This 18-nucleotide unclassified non-coding RNA is filed under the name Chlamydomonas reinhardtii. RNAcentral's name for it is "small RNA Cre_1949". The record is from RNAcentral. Lineage: Eukaryota; Viridiplantae; Chlorophyta; Chlorophyceae; Chlamydomonadales; Chlamydomonadaceae.